UUUCUCUCUCUCUUCACUAUUCUUUCUGGGUAAAAAUCAACGAGAAGCACCAAAUUUCUCCAUUGUUAUUCUUGCAACCUCUCUGGAUUCCAAAAUGUUGAGCAACCGUCAUCAAUAAAGGAUUGUCAGCAGCAGCAUUAUCUCCGGCAGAGGUAUAACCGCCGGUUUUCAUACAGAUCCGGUGGCUGUCACUAGAUUGAUGAGGUUUUGGUUGGGAUUCGCGACUGGGUGCUCAAUUUCAGGAAAACUAGGGUUUGGUAAGUGGAGAUUCCAACGAUCUAGGGCAUAAGUAAGGUUUCUCCGGUCGACUUGAACUUCCAGCAAACAAACCUAGGGUUCUUCGGUCGACUUGAACUUCCAGCAACCAAACCUAGGGUUCCGGCGAAAGACCUGAUUUUCUGGUCUGUGAACGGCGGCAUCUAAAACCAUAAGGUGUUUGGAAUGGAAGUUGGAACACAAUGGAUUUUGUGGGAAUUUAGUUAAAUAGGAAACCAGUGAGAUUGCUGUCACAACAUAAACAGGAACAACCUGAUACACAAUGUAAGUUUCUGAACAACAAGAUUUAUAAACCAAGGAAUGAUCAUAAACUUACACUACUAGAAGAAAAUAAUAUUUACUACCCCAAUUCCGGUAUUGUUGUCUCUUUUUUGGGACAAGUUUGCUACUAGAAUUGCGGAAAAAAAAUGUUGGUUGCAAACCAAAUUUGCGAUCGAUUUGCAACCGGGAAGUAUUUUGCCACUAAUAUUUUGGUCUCAAAUCCUGCGAUCGCAUUAUCAAGCACUUUUAGUGACUGGUUUAUGACAACUUUUUUAUGAUUGCAUAUUAAUGAUCCAUUUGUGGUUGUUUCUUAAGUGACGAUUUAUGUCCUAUAUUUGUUUUCUUCAUUUUCUUGACCAUUUUGCUAUUGACGUUAUUGUUAUAUAUAUUAAAAAGUAUGGCUUGUGAAUACAAUCAUCACGCAACACUUGACGCGUGUUCUUUUUAUUUUUUUAUACUUUUCUUUAUCUUUAUUUUUCUAUGUUUUGUAUAUUACACCACCGUACAUCACUUGACACAUGUCCUGUAUUUUUCUUUUGUUUAACUUGUAAUAUUUUUAACGUUUCUCUUUCUUUUUUAUAUUUUAUGCAGUUAUAGCACAAUACACUGUUGCAAGUUACUUAUUUUUAGCUACGCAUUUAUACAAAUAUUUUUCUAAAUCGAGUAGAGUCAAAUAUGGCAUUUUUUUUUACUUUUUUUUAUAUAAAACACACUUUUGAGAUUCACUUAUUUUUAUCUUUUUAAUUUAAUAUAUUAUUUAUAGUUUAAGUUUAUUACUGUUGCGAUGUGUUGAUUUUUAUCCAUGUUCCAAUACAAGUCUGAGUCUAAACCGAUCGCGGACAUAACCUGCUAGCAUCAUCAUAAAUGAACUUUUAAAUCUUAAUUAUAAGGGGACCUUUAUUGAGUUUCGAAGUGGGAUGAUUAACGUUUCACCAAUCGGGCGAAACUGCAGCCAAGAAGAAAGAGAUGAAUUUGAGAGAUAUGAUAAGGUAGUUCUUUAUAAACCCUAAAGAGUGGGGGAUUUAGAGUUUGCAUUUGAACCUCCAAGUGAUGAGGAAAUCAAUUAUGACGAUGUUAGCAGCGGUGGAGAAGACGACGAAGAAGAAAACAACGGUGUAGAAGAAAAAAUAACUAAAAAGAAGACACAGUCUCCGUGGGACUUUUCUUCUUACACUGAAUCAAUUGCAGAGGAACACGCUCGCAGAAGCACUAUAUUGAUGAAAAAGUUUCGAAGCUUAUCCAACAGCGUGGUCAUGCGAAAAUAAUACCAGAAAAAGAUGAGGUUGAUGAAGAUGGCUCUUCUGAUUCUGAGCCAGACCGUCAGGUGAAUUGAGUAACAGAGUGAGAGGAUGAAAACGAAUGAAAACGAAUGAUGACGUCUGACGGUAAUAAUAUUAAGUAUUAGCAUAAAUUAAGUUCAUGUGUGGAAUCAUCCUCGAUGCCAAAUGUAUUGUCAGUUUCAACACUUAAUGUAUCUCCACUUUCGUUUUCAAUGAAUCAUCGAGUCGGGGGUGAUGGCGAACAUUUAUAUGCUUUUUAAACAUUGGUUUUUUUGAACAUUUCAGUUUGUUU
This 2109-nucleotide long non-coding RNA is filed under the name Helianthus annuus (common sunflower). RNAcentral's name for it is "hypothetical non coding rna". The record is from RNAcentral. Lineage: Eukaryota; Viridiplantae; Streptophyta; Magnoliopsida; Asterales; Asteraceae.